CUGCAUUGGUUGGCUGGGUGAC
RNAcentral lists this microRNA (22 nucleotides) under Cordylochernes scorpioides. The record is from RNAcentral. Lineage: Eukaryota; Metazoa; Arthropoda; Arachnida; Pseudoscorpiones; Chernetidae.